Non-coding RNA from Procambarus clarkii (red swamp crayfish), 932 nucleotides. Lineage: Eukaryota; Metazoa; Arthropoda; Malacostraca; Decapoda; Cambaridae. The record is from RefSeq and is a predicted model, not a curated record.
UGGUACUGUGGAUGAAAGUCUACCUUGAGCAGCCUGAACUCGCCCAACUUUGUCCCGUCUGACAACUAAAUGGAGCGAGGUAGAUAAGCUUCUUGACAGACGAGGCUGUUGCGUACAUCAUUCGUCAAUUGAUUGAACAGUUCAUGUACAGAACCUGUAAGUAGUGUUAGAUGGACUGAGAAAUUUCUACGAAAGUGUCUUCUAUGUGAACGUUCUAAAGUCACCGAAGUUGUUUGAUCUGGUGGGGGGAGCUAGUUGACCUCCUGGACAAGGUCUAAGAUUGCAGAACUACAGUUUCAACUCCCGACGUCACCUUAUUUAAGCGUAGAUGAACUACCCAGAAUGAACUACCUGCUGAACUCUUUUGAGAGACUGUGUUCUCUCACAACAUAAAGAAAUCGUAAAAGAUCUGAUAAACUUUGCAAGAGAUACACCGCCGAAAAAAAUGUCAGUAUCCCAAGGGUGGGUUUAAAGGUGUAUACUCCGAAGCUGUCGCAUCUACGAACGUAAAUGUCAAACAAACUCUUGGAUAAUACCCAGCAUCCCUUGGAUAAAACUAUUACCCUGUUCCUAUAUUGAGGCUCGGAUGACUGAAACUAAAACACAAUCUAGACAAAGACGCAAUCUACGACUAAAAAGCUUGUUGAUUCCUCCUAGGAGAAUGAAAUAAUUGAAACAAAGAUGACCAAGAUGACGACAAAGCUUCUAAUUAUAAAUUAUAUGUAAAUUAUAAUUAAUUUGUUUUUAAAGUAACGCAUUGUUAGUUCGAUGACAAGUACUAAGACUGAAUUUGUCUCUAAAAGUAUUUUUUAUAAACAUGUUACAAAAAUUUUAUCUUCAUGUUAUACAAAUUGUAUUUUAUCAUUAACUUUAUUGUAUAUAAACCAGAAAUCUCUUUUUUUUUCUAAUUGUGCAAUAAUGUUUAUACAAUA